Molecule: non-coding RNA, 109 nt
Filed under: uncultured Lachnoclostridium sp.
Lineage: Bacteria; Bacillati; Bacillota; Clostridia; Lachnospirales; Lachnospiraceae
Description: FMN riboswitch (RFN element)
Rfam family: FMN riboswitch aptamer (RFN element)
About the family: The RFN element is a highly conserved domain that is found frequently in the 5'-untranslated regions of prokaryotic mRNAs that encode for flavin mononucleotide (FMN) biosynthesis and transport proteins. This element is a metabolite-dependent riboswitch that directly binds FMN in the absence of proteins.
Source: RNAcentral
UUCUUCGGGGCAGGGGGUAGUUCCCGACCGGCGGUAUAGUCCGCGAACGAAUUUAUUCGUUGAUUUGGUGAAAUUCCAAAACCGACAGUAUAGUCUGGAUGAGAGAAGA